Molecule: non-coding RNA, 146 nt
Organism: Bacillus cereus Rock3-44
Lineage: Bacteria; Bacillati; Bacillota; Bacilli; Caryophanales; Bacillaceae
Source: Rfam
AACCUGAUAUCGCUGAGUCCAAUUAUUUGGAGCGGGGGAACCAAUUUUGUGCAUUGUCACUUGGGGUGAAUCUUUCAUUAUGAAAGUAGGGCUACUCUUUAGGCCCGAAUCCGACAGCUAACCUCGUAAGCGUUUGGAGAGGAGGU